UUCUUUUGGGUUUCCUUUGCUGUGCAAAAGCUUUUCAGUUGGAUGAGGUCCCAUGGGUUUACUUUUGCUCUAAUUUCUAUUGCUUUGGGAGACUGACCUGAGAAAAUAUUCAUGAUGUUGAUGUCGAGAGUGUUUUGCCUUAUGUUUUCUUCUAGGAUUUUGAUGGUGUCCUGUCGUAUAUUUAAGUCUUUCAGCCAUUUUGAGUUUAUUUUUGUGCAUGGUGUGAGGGUGCCAGCUCCAGUGGCCAGAGAGUGUACACUUUUCCCAAAGGAGAGGGACGCACAUAGGCUUUUGCAGCAGAGACAGCCUCUUUGUCCCUUCUUUCAGGGCAGUGGACUGCUCAAAUUUUAUUGGUAACAGUGGGUGAUUAUAUAGACAGCUUUUCACUACAAAUUACAUCAUAGUGUUAAAAGUACAUUGGUUAACUUUUACAUGGUACAGCAGCUAUACAUCACGUUCUAACAUCUUUGUCUUAACUAAAUUUAGUGAGGACAUUUUAAGGGCAAUUAGGUACAAUACAUCACAUGGAAAGGAGGAGACUCAGUACAAAUCAUCCCAUGGCCAGCAAGUCUCCACAAGUUGAAGAGGUCACAGACACAAGAAUUUGGCAUUCACAAAUCUUGUUUUUAGACUAGUGAUUAUCUUUAAAGCGUUAUGCAGGGAGACAGUGUAAGAAAACAUAAACCAACUUAACUAGCUAUUACUUAAAAGCUUCUAUAACUCAUAGCUAGGUGUCUUUUGAUCAAGAAUAAUAUAUGUCUAACUUCUGUGAACCUCAUUAAAGUCCUAACUCUAAAGUUUACUCUAUAACUAGUUAGUAGCUAAACACUAUGUUUUAACUAAGUUGGAUUUAAAUAGGGGAAAGUCCUUCAGGAUGAAAUUCAUAUUAUGUUGUUGUAACUUUGUUAAAUCACAAAUCACCACAGGAAAAUAAGAAUAAUAAGUAAAUAAUCAGGAAAGGCUGAGGAAAACUGAAUAACAAAUAAAACAACAGGAAAGACUAGGUUGCCCGAGAAACAAUCCAUGUUCUCCAGCGCAAACAUGGAAAUAGUUUUUCCAGGAAAGCCCCAAUUCUUCCCCAUCAACAUCAAAAUGAGAGCUGUGUAACCUGAGGCCUGCCCUUGGCUUGUACCAUGCAGGUGGCUUUUUAUCCUGACCAGAAGCCCACCUUCGGCUUGUACCAUUCAGGUGAACUCCCUUCCUUGGUUAGAAACCUGCCUUCAGGUUUUUCUGCCAUCAGGCAAGGUCCUUUUUUUGAGUCCCUGCAUCUUCUCAGCUCCCCGCAAUUCCCAGACCCUAUAUUGAAGCUGAUUAAAAGAAAAUCCAUGCGUUGUAUCUGUUCUUAGACUGCUCCCAUUUAAGCAACUGGUUUAUUUUUAUCUUCAGUUGCUGUGAAUUCCAUGACUGACCAGAAAGCUUGGAGCCAAAUAUAAUUACCAUCUGCAUUUUCAGAGUCAUUCCUGGCUCAAUUUUAUGUCCCCACCCUUGUUUAUUCCUUCUUUUUCACUUGUCUAACAUUAUUUUCAGUUUACCCUAUCUUCCCUUUCUUCCAUGCUACCUUCAAAUUUUUCAGAACUCUUCAGAAGUAAGAGCUACUAUAAAUAUAAAUAAUUUCUUAAGUCAGAGAAGAAAAUCCACCAAAAUGGGAAAAUAAUGGUUACCUCUGGCUAGUAAAGCAUAGACUUUUAAAAUUUGCUUCUUCAUAAAGGGUAUCACACUCUCUGACCAUCAACAUUCUUUCUUUUAUAAAUAUAAAAACAUUUUAAAAUUUCAGACAAACUGUAAGAUUCCAUUUAGUUUUCUUUUUUAAUUUUGCGUAUUGGCAAAAGUAUGGUGGUCCACUAGCAGAGGUUAAAGAUGAAGCUGGAGACAUUUGUGAGGAGAGGGGCUAUGACAGUUUAAUUUCAUGUGUCAAAUUGACUGAGCUCACAGUUUGGUCAAACAUUGUUCUGGGUGUUUCUGUGAAGGUUAUUUGCGGAAUGAGAUCAGCAUUUAAAUCAGUGGACUGAGUAAAGCAGAUUAUUCUCUGUAAUGUGGGUGGGCCUCAUCCAAUCAGUUGAAGGUCUUAAUAACAUAAAGACUGACUUCCC
RNAcentral lists this long non-coding RNA (2090 nucleotides) under Sus scrofa (pig). RNAcentral's name for it is "lncRNA (ENSSSCG00000045923.1)". The record is from RNAcentral. Lineage: Eukaryota; Metazoa; Chordata; Mammalia; Artiodactyla; Suidae.